RNAcentral lists this ribosomal RNA (775 nucleotides) under uncultured Neocallimastigales. RNAcentral's name for it is "partial large subunit ribosomal RNA". It matches the Rfam family "Eukaryotic large subunit ribosomal RNA", at positions 24 to 649 of the family's 3401-position model. Lineage: Eukaryota; Fungi; Neocallimastigomycota; Neocallimastigomycetes; Neocallimastigales. The record is from RNAcentral.
UAUGUGAUCGUCUCUCGCAUAUCAAUAAGCGGAGGAAAAGAAACUAACAAGGAUUCCCCUAGUAACGGCGAGUGAAGCGGGAAGAGCUCAAAUUUGAAAUCUUAAAGGGUUUCCCUUUACGAAUUGUAGUUUAAAGAAGUGUUUUCUGUUGAGGUUUUGGUAAAAGUUCUUUGGAAUAGGACAUCAUAGAGGGUGAGAAUCCCGUAUUUGACCUUUACUUUCAACUUUGUGAUACACUUUCAAAGAGUCGGAUUGUUUGGGAAUGCAGUCCAAAAUGGGUGGUAAAUUUCAUCUAAAGCUAAAUAUUGGCGAGAGACCGAUAGCGAACAAGUACCGUGAGGGAAAGAUGAAAAGAACUUUGAAAAGAGAGUUAAACAGUACGUGAAAUUGUCAAAAGGGAAGCGUUUGACACCAGUAUUGUUUUUCUGAAAAUCAAUUAAAGAACUGUUUAUGCUAAGUUGUUUAGACUUUAUCAGCUAACUGUUUAGUUUUGAGCUUUUCUUUAAUGCACUUUUCAGUUAACAAGUCAAGCAUCAAUUUCUUUUGCUGUAAAAAAGCUUGAGGAAGGUGGCUUGAGAUUCGUCUUAAGUGUUUAUAGCCUCUUGCCUAUGCAGUCGGAGAGAUUGAGGUCUGCAGCGUAGAUCCUUCGGGGCUAAAUGCAUUUGUGCUAAGUUAUAGCAUUUUAUAGACAACUUGUUGACUAUGAUUUGUCUUGUAGCUUACUCGCUUAUGUUAUUUUACCUACGCUUAGGAUGUUGAGUAGCGACAUACGCAC